UACUAGCUCUCCGAGUGGUGUGGAUGUUUAUUGGGCCUAAAGCAUCCGUAGCUGACUGGACAAGUCCCCUGUUAAAUCCACCGAUUUAAUCGUUGGUGUGCGGGGGAUACUGUUCGGCUAGGGGACGGGAGAGGCCGACGGUAUUUCCGGGGUAGGGGUGAAAUCCUAUAAUCCCGGGAAGACCACCAGUGGCGAAGGCUGUCGGCUAGAACGCGCCCGGCGGUGAGGGAUGAAAGCUGGGGGAGCGAACCGGAUUAGAUACCCGGGUAGUCCCAGCUGUAAACGAUGCAGGCUAGGUGUUUGGGCGGCCACGUGCCGCUCUAGUGCCGCAAGGAAGCUGUUAAGCCUGCCGCCUGGGGAGUACGGCCGCAAGGCUGAAACUUAAAGGAAUUGGCGGGGAGCACCACAAGGGGUGAAGCUUGCGGUUU
This 428-nucleotide ribosomal RNA is filed under the name uncultured archaeon. Its description in RNAcentral is "bacterial SSU rRNA". It matches the Rfam family "Archaeal small subunit ribosomal RNA", at positions 474 to 903 of the family's 1478-position model. The record is from RNAcentral.